UGGGGAAUAUUGGACAAUGGGCGCAAGCCUGAUCCAGCAAUGCCGCGUGUGUGAAGAAGGCCUUCGGGUUGUAAAGCACUUUUAUCAGGAGCGAAACGCUGUCGGCUAAUACCCGGCGGAACUGACGGUACCUGAGGAAUAAGCACCGGCUAACUUCGUGCCAGCAGCCGCGGUAAUACGAAGGGUGCAAGCGUUAAUCGGAAUUACUGGGCGUAAAGCGUGCGUAGGCGGUUUCUUAAGUCUGCUGUGAAAUCCCCGGGCUCAACCUGGGAAUGGCAGUGGAUACUGGGAGGCUAGAGUGUGUCAGAGGGUGGUGGAAUUCCCGGUGUAGCGGUGAAAUGCGUAGAGAUCGGGAGGAACAUCAGUGGCGAAGGCGGCCACCUGGGACAACACUGACGCUGAGGCACGAAAGCGUGGGGAGCAAACAGGAUUAGGAUACCCUGGUAGUCCACGCCCUAAAGCGAUGCGAACUGGAUGUUGGUCUCAACUCGGAGAUCAGUGUCGAAGCUAACGCGUUAAGUUCGCCGCCUGGGGAGUACGG
Molecule: ribosomal RNA, 541 nt
Filed under: uncultured bacterium
Lineage: Bacteria
Description: partial 16S ribosomal RNA
Rfam family: Bacterial small subunit ribosomal RNA
Source: RNAcentral